GGGUUAAAUCGGCCGGCGUCAUUUGAAAUCCCCAGGUCCUGGUACGAGCACCAAACUUCCCCUAGCCCCUUCUCCCAUUGCGAGAUCUCCUCUCUCUCUCUCUACCCCCUCGAUCCUCGAUCCUCGAUCCUCGAUCCUCGAUCCUCGAUCCUCGUCGUCGCCGACGACUAUACCGUCGGAGGUGGCCGUCGGCGGCAAUUUUUGGGUCUUUCUGGAGCCCUACGCUCGCAAUGAGGCCGUCUAGUACCUCUGUGACAAUUGCGUAGCGGUCGAUCUCUCCUAUUGGAUCGGCCAGCACGACGCCGUCACGCCGUCAUCCGAAGCCGGAGAUGUCAUCUCCGGAAUCCUCACCUGCGCAGCACCGUCUCCCUCUUCUCCAAGAUGGGAGCUCAUUUGGUGUUUGUGGUGGAGGAGGAGGAGUCUCCAUCUAAGUCGCGGGUAAGGAUCGAGCGUUUCUUCCAGAUGUCGAGCUUCAAUCCCUCGGAGCUGCCGAAACCCGAAUGCGAUGGGUAAUAGGGGACCCCUGUGAGCUCUAGUGCAGUCUUCUAUCCUAAGAUGUUUGGCACCAUUUUAUCAGGAAUCACGCGAGCCCUAUAAUUAUCAGAUAUUGUAAAGCUUCUGGCUCGCAAUGACCAUGAUUUACAUGGUGUUCCUGGGUUUGAGAUUGAUGCUGCUGUUUGCUUUGUGAAGCUGUAUUCUAAUAAUGAGACUUUAGAUCUGUUUUCCCUAAUUGGGAAUGGGGAUUCAAAUAUAGUAAAUGGAAUUAAAAAGUUGCCCACAACUGUUUGAUUUCCAUGUGCAAUCGGAGAAAAUGAAAUUUGAAGACAGAUGGCUUUCUCAUGCAAUUCUGUGAACUAUUUGUCCCACAAUGCUUACAAGCUCUUUGGCUGCGUGGAUGACCACAUUUAGCAUCUGAAUUCCUUUACAGGUUUGGAACUUUAUAGUUUCUGGAUUAUCCAUCGAUUCCUGCUUUUUCACAUUAUGCCUGUAUCUUGCUAUUUCUGAACUCCUUUCAGACUCGUAUUCUAUGUUUUAGUGUUGUGAUCUAAGGCAUAAUGUUAGAGCAUCUCCAAUGGGAGGUUUUUAUGAGCUCUUUAACUUUCACUAUGAAGUGUCAAUGAAUAAUAAGAAAUGGGGAUCAAUAUUGCGGACCGUUUCUUAAUCUCUUUCUUCUGUUUUUUGAUGGGGCUACAAAAAAAAGCUCCUUUCCAUUGUGGAUGCCCUUAGGACAGAGCUUUUUUAUGGCCCCCCACCAAAAAAAAGAAGGGAAAGAUUAAGAAGCGGAUCUGAAAUAUUGAACCCCGCUUUUUAAUAUUCAUUGACACACCGUUAAAGAGCUCAUAAAAACCUCCUGAUGGAGAUGCUCUUAGCCUCUUUCCGUGUCUUAUCAGAGUAGGAUGAUUCUGAGAGAGAAAAUGGUCAAUUUGGAAAACUCUAGAUGAGAUGGCGGCGACAAUAAGUGAGAUGGAUGGAUGGAUUACGAUGGAGAGACUUACAGUUUUCCAGAAUAGUAGAGAUGUAUGUACUCAAUUGUAUCAGAAAACACUGUGAUUACAGAAAAAGAUGAAGUGUGGAACAGCAGUCAUGGUGUCUGAUCUCUCCAUAAGGCCAUACCUGGAUAGUGAACACUGGAUGACUUAGUGUUCACUCAGGCUGAACAUCCCAUGCCUCGCCCUUGCCGCACGGCAAAAUUAAACCUGUGCAUCGCAUGGUCGGGUGAGUUUUACCCUCAAUGCUCACAUCGCAAGCGGCCGGGAUUAGAUAUGCAAGAUGAUUUGUCUGGAUCUUUGAUGUUCUGAAGACAAUAUCUAUACUUGAUCGUUGUUGUUUGGAACAGCGAUGUGGUGGAACGUUUGAUGAGCAAAUAAUGGUCCGAUUUAGAAAUUUGAACCAUUGCUGUUGAUUUGGAUUGAGUGGGGCUGGUUGAAUUUCUGAUGAUUAAUUGGGCCGUGUAUGUAUUUUUUAUUGGGCUUCGAAUAAGCCGAUCAUGGGCUGUGACUUGUAAUAGCUGGUCAUUCAAUAAGGUUAAUCAGCGACAGCGCCCUAAGUAACAUGGGGGCUUCCAUGGACUGUUUUCAUCAGUUACCAAAAUAAAUGGUCAUGUGCCAUUUUCUGAGCCA
This is a long non-coding RNA of Zingiber officinale, 2120 nucleotides long. RefSeq lists it as uncharacterized. The record is from RefSeq and is a predicted model, not a curated record. NCBI's taxonomy places the organism in Eukaryota, Viridiplantae, Streptophyta, Magnoliopsida, Zingiberales, Zingiberaceae. The transcript has 6 exons.